ACACAUCUCCUCACUUGCAUGUUCACCCACACAGCCUGGGAUCCUUUGAAAUGAUGCGUAAAAACAAAUAAAAUAUUGAGUAGAUGAUUCUCAUCCAUUUUACCAUAAUUUCCAUGUGCCUUAAUUCUUAUGUAGAUUUUAAUUUGUAGAAGAGUCCUCUUUGGAAAAAUCAGCAUAAAAAACACAUGGGGAAAAUAGAAAAAAGAAGACUACUCAAGGGACACAUCUCCUCACUUACAUGCUCACCUGUGCGGGCAGGAAUCCCUUAUACGUGAGUUGGGGGAUAAAAUGCUAAGUAAAAAUGAAUAAAAAACUAAGUAGAUAAUUCUUAU
Molecule: long non-coding RNA, 332 nt
Filed under: Carica papaya (papaya)
Lineage: Eukaryota; Viridiplantae; Streptophyta; Magnoliopsida; Brassicales; Caricaceae
Description: long non-coding RNA (CPAP_LNC009622)
Source: RNAcentral